ACCUGGCUGGCUCAGUCAGUGGAGCAUGUGACUCUUAAUUUCAGGGUCGUGGGUUCAAGCCCCGUGUUGGGUG
Molecule: transfer RNA, 73 nt
Filed under: Canis lupus familiaris (dog)
Lineage: Eukaryota; Metazoa; Chordata; Mammalia; Carnivora; Canidae
Also listed under: 1 other name
Rfam family: tRNA
About the family: Transfer RNA (tRNA) molecules are approximately 80 nucleotides in length. Their secondary structure includes four short double-helical elements and three loops (D, anti-codon, and T loops). Further hydrogen bonds mediate the characteristic L-shaped molecular structure. tRNAs have two regions of fundamental functional importance: the anti-codon, which is responsible for specific mRNA codon recognition, and the 3' end, to which the tRNAs corresponding amino acid is attached (by aminoacyl-tRNA synthetases). tRNAs cope with the degeneracy of the genetic code in two manners: having more than one tRNA (with a specific anti-codon) for a particular amino acid; and 'wobble' base-pairing, i.e. permitting non-standard base-pairing at the 3rd anti-codon position.
Source: Rfam by way of RNAcentral